RNAcentral lists this ribosomal RNA (465 nucleotides) under uncultured bacterium. RNAcentral describes it as "partial 16S ribosomal RNA". It matches the Rfam family "Bacterial small subunit ribosomal RNA", at positions 28 to 507 of the family's 1533-position model. The record is from RNAcentral.
GACGAACGCUGGCGGCGUGCUUAACACAUGCAAGUCGAACGGAAAGGCCCCUUUGGGGGUACUCGAGUGGCGAACGGGUGAGUAACACGUGAGUAACCUUCCCUUGACUUCGGGAUAACUUCAGGAAACUGGGGCUAAUACCGGAUAGGAAUCCUUGCUGCAUGGUGGGGGUUGGAAAGCUUCGGCGGUUUUGGAUGGACUCGCGGCUUAUCAGCUUGUUGGUGGGGUAGUGGCUUACCAAGGCUUUGACGGGUAGCCGGCCUGAGAGGGCGACCGGCCACAUUGGGACUGAGAUACGGCCCAGACUCCUACGGGAGGCAGCAGUGGGGAAUAUUGCACAAUGGGCGGAAGCCUGAUGCAGCAACGCCGCGUGCGGGAUGACGGCCUUCGGGUUGGAAACCGCUUUCAGCAGGGGCGAAGCUUGUGGUGACGGUACCUGCAGAAGAAGCACCGGCUAACUACGUG